Meriones unguiculatus (Mongolian gerbil) is the source of this 1615-nucleotide long non-coding RNA. RefSeq lists it as uncharacterized. The record is from RefSeq and is a predicted model, not a curated record. Lineage: Eukaryota; Metazoa; Chordata; Mammalia; Rodentia; Muridae. The transcript is spliced from 2 exons.
UCAAAGCUACAUGAUUAGACGCACAGUUCACCCACUGCCAACAUUUCUCAUGAAGAGGACCCGGGUUCAAUUCUCAGCACCCCCAUCAGCUCACAGCUGUAAGGCCGGUUCUAUAGGGCCAGGCCCCCUCUUCCGGCUUCCUAGGAACUCCUGCAAGCACAACGCACAUUCACCAUUCACAGGAACUUUUUCUUUUUCAAUUAUGAAAACUUCUCUAGAUCCCCUCUGACUUGUGGCUGGCUUAUCAUCAAGCAGUGGCCCAGCAGUGGGAGUGGGGAAGGGCCGCACAGCUGGGCGAGUGGGCCCUAGGAGGAGGUGGUACCUGGCUCUAAAGACGAUGGCCUGGCUGCGGGCGCUGGAGCCCGGCUGCUGGAGCUGCCCGCGCGCCCGCCCGGGGACCCGCACAGGCCCCGCGCCCAGUGUUCGUGCGCCCUGGGCUGCCCUGGCGCCAGGACACCCGCACGAGCCGCCGAUGUCCGUGGGGCUGCUGAUGCCCGAGCCGGAGCACUGCUCUCGGACCCGUGGUGCCUGGCCGUGGGGACCUCCUACGUUAGCGUCUACGACCACCAAGGUGUCUUCAAGAAAAAGAAAUCCAUGCUGACGGCGGACCUUUUCGAAAGACCGCGGGAACUUCGGGGCUUAGAUUGUUCCAGGUGCUCAGCAGAGCGGGCAGAGGGUGUAAAGUUGCCGGUAGGCGGUGCAGGUUCGCCAGGGGACAGAGAGUAGUGAGAGCUGCCCAGGACGCCUGGCCAGUUGGUGGCGCAGCAGCAAAGGCGAGCCACGGUGGGCAGCUCUGCUUGGAGCCCAGGGCUUCCCCGCUGUGGAGUUUGGUUCUGUGCACAGCGCUUUAGGCUUUCUCCCCUGGCAGAUGGAACCGGCUGAGACUGUCUCCUUGCCUUCUCACCUGAACGUCAGUUACUGGGACGACUUCUCCGACCUUUGUCGGUACGCAGCGAGGGAACCGCGUCUGGGAAGGCAGUGGUCCCUGCUGGCGUGAUUUGCUUCAAGCUUUUGGAACACAGGACCCGAUGGUUCAGGUGUUUACAAAAUACCUACAAAACGCUGUGCGCCCCUACUUCACAGUCCUCAAAAUUUAUCAGCAGACACAAACGGUGUCUUACUUGAGAGUGCACGUGUAUGCUUGGAAAGACUCGGGAAGGAGGCAGUAGAGAAUGGAGUAGAUGUCAGCUUGGAGUGUAUAAAGAAGUUGGGGGGUCUGAACUCCAUUCUGAAGCCUGGUUGUGGACUGCUUCUAACUGACUGGUUAUUGCUUGAAGUCUGUGAAUAUUAAAUUCUGAUAAAUUGUGACUGACUCUUAAAUGCCUGUUUCUGACAAGAAAAGUGCUAUAAUAUUAUAAUGAACAGUGCCAAAUGAAUUGUUCAUAUCUAUAAUUCACUCCUUGAAUGCAUAUUAAUUAGCUCCUCCCAUCUGGGUGAUGGUUCCAUUCUUAGAAUGGUGAAGUAUGAGUUUGGUAUGAGUGGAGAUUUUGACAACAUGAAAACAAUGUGUAAAGCAUAUUUUUAUGAUUAAGGAAUCAAUUGGAUUACAUUUUAUUAAUAGAAGUUGAAGCAUGCAUGAGAUAAAAAUCAAUAAAAGAAUACACUCUUUUCAUUG